Molecule: ribosomal RNA, 512 nt
Filed under: uncultured bacterium
Lineage: Bacteria
Description: partial 16S ribosomal RNA
Rfam family: Bacterial small subunit ribosomal RNA
Source: RNAcentral
GAUGAACGCUGGCGGCGUGCCUAAUACAUGCAAGUCGAACGAAACUUCUUUAUCACCGAGUGCUUGCACUCACCGAUAAAGAGUUGAGUGGCGAACGGGUGAGUAACACGUGGGCAACCUGCCCAAAAGAGGGGGAUAACACUUGGAAACAGGUGCUAAUACCGCAUAACCAUAGUUACCGCAUGGUAACUAUGUAAAAGGUGGCUAUACUACCGCUUUUGGAUGGGCCCGCGGCGCAUUAGCUAGUUGGUAGGGUAAAGGCUUACCAAGGCAAUGAUGCGUAGCCGAAUUGAGAGGUUGAUCGGCCACAUUGGGACUGAGACACGGCCCAAACUCCUACGGGAGGCAGCAGUAGGGAAUCUUCCACAAUGGGCGAAAGCCUGAUGGAGCAACGCCGCGUGGGUGAAGAAGGUCUUCGGAUCGUAAAACCCUGUUGUUAGAGAAGAAAGUGCGUGAGAGUAACUGCUCACGUUUCGACGGUAUCUAACCAGAAAGCCACUGCUAACUACGUG